This 1170-nucleotide long non-coding RNA is filed under the name Bemisia tabaci. RNAcentral's name for it is "lncRNA ENSSSA1NGG009559". The record is from RNAcentral. Lineage: Eukaryota; Metazoa; Arthropoda; Insecta; Hemiptera; Aleyrodidae.
CGGGGUAACAUGUGUAUCUUCACCUUGCUUUUCUUAAUCAAGUUCAACUCAUUAUAAGUGUUAUAUUUCUCUUUUUUUGUUCAUCAGUUCAAAAUAAAAUUAAUGAAGAAUGAUAGAUCGGAAGAAGAAGGAAGCAUCAUUAUGUACAUCAAAAGAAGAGAUGAUGGCUUUGAGAUUGAAACAAUGUUGCAGUACGAGGAUCGGAUGGUCGAGUUUGAAAGUAAAUUGAAGUAUCAUUCUCCAGAGGCAAAAAUGGUCAACAUUUUGAUUUCAUCCACACACCCAGACUACAAACGGUUGCAAGUUGACGGUUUACUUUUGGCGAAGCAUUUCGGACAGUUCAUCAUGACAGUCAAAGGAGGCGUCGAGUCAAAAUGGCUGGACACAACAUACAAUGCUCAUCUCAAAGUCUGGACCGAGCAAGAGAAAGGCAUCCUGCUGUCGUCAAUUGACUCCUCUCAGUUAUCGAGUAAUACACAGUUUGUUUGGAUCUGGAAGUCGGAAGCUUUUCAUACAAGUUUCAAUAGUUUCUUCCGAUAUAACGGUCUCACGCAACAGUUCCUGUCAAAGGUUUUCUUCUGGAAUCCAAAUGAAGAUUUCAAAAGUAUUUGCAUGGGAAGUCAAAUAAACAACAAUGAUAAUUGGGUGUUCACGGCGAAUGCGACAGUUUUAGCACCAUCCUCAACAAACUGCAGUUUCACAUCGUAUUUUCAACUGCCCGACAAUAGAGAAAUGCUUCACGUAAUGGUUGGCAAACUUCUCCUCCUGGACCAAUACAAUUUUAUCAACCACGCUCUUCAAUACUCAGUUUUCCCAAAUCAAGUCAAAUUUCGUACCUUCAGUGAGCUUCAAAUUUCUCCAGACGAAAUGAAUGGCCUCAUCCUCUUGCAAAACAAAGAAGAAGUCCCACCAUUCUUUUUGAACAGCUUCAAAGCAAAGAUUGUAAAAGGAGUGUACAAUGUCACCAAUGUUCUUAGUACUGUUCUGCUCAGACGAAGCCUCGUUUCUUUCCUCGAGUACAAGAAGCCUUCUUCCAGACACAUUAUCAAGUUAGUCCAAUUUUUAUUUUACGUUAUCAUAUCCCUAAUAGAAAAGACUUGUAUCACUAUAAAUGGAAAGUCAAAAGUCAAAAUUUCAGCUCAUUUUAGUAUGUUAAUAGCUUCAUAUUAA